This 444-nucleotide ribosomal RNA is filed under the name uncultured Syntrophus sp. Its description in RNAcentral is "bacterial SSU rRNA". It matches the Rfam family "Bacterial small subunit ribosomal RNA", at positions 936 to 1382 of the family's 1533-position model. The record is from RNAcentral. Lineage: Bacteria; Pseudomonadati; Thermodesulfobacteriota; Syntrophia; Syntrophales; Syntrophaceae.
AGCAUGUGGUUAAUUCGAUGCAACGCGAAGAACCUUACCUGGGCUUGACAUCCCGAGAAUCCCCUGGAAACAGGGAGUGCCUUUCGGGAACUCGGAGACAGGUGCUGCAUGGCUGUCGUCAGCUCGUGUCGUGAGAUGUUGGGUUAAGUCCCGCAACGAGCGCAACCCUUGUCUUUAAUUGCCAGCAUUCAGUUGGGCACUUUAAAGAGACUGCCGGUGUUAAGCCGGAGGAAGGUGGGGAUGACGUCAAGUCCUCAUGGCCUUUAUGCCCAGGGCUACACACGUGCUACAAUGGGUGGUACAAAGAGAUGCCAACUCGCGAGAGCGCGCCAAUCUCAGAAAACCGGUCUCAGUUCGGAUUGGAGUCUGCAACUCGACUCCAUGAAGUUGGAAUCGCUAGUAAUCGCGUAUCAGCAUGACGCGGUGAAUACGUUCCCGGGCCUU